RNAcentral lists this long non-coding RNA (2074 nucleotides) under Daphnia pulicaria. RNAcentral's name for it is "uncharacterized LOC124313555, transcript variant X6". Lineage: Eukaryota; Metazoa; Arthropoda; Branchiopoda; Diplostraca; Daphniidae. The record is from RNAcentral.
GCCGUUCUCAGUGCCGAAUUUGUCUUUUUUCAUUUAAGCAAAUUAUUGGUGCCGAAACGUCUGGACACCCAUUAUUUUACAACCCAUUUCCUAUAUUCCUUCGACAGAGUUUAGAAGAGCAUCACCACGCAUUCAUAAUACGCGAAUUAGGGUAUCAACAUCACACAACACUUGACAACAGGAAUGGAGAAAGAAUUAUCCUCUUCAGUCCACCUAGAAUUGGGAAUGAAGAAAAAUAGAAAUUCUGGACAAGAAACAGAGGUUUCCCAUGGACAUGUUAUUCCCAAUUCCGGAAUUACACGUGCCCCACGAGUGAUACGCGAUGGCAAAGUGGCCGUCAUCUAUCAGCCCAAUCACGGUAUUGGUUGGUACUCAGUACAUAAGAUUGAAGCCCUUCUUUUUGCUCCCGAGAUUGUUUUCAUGAUUGAACAAGAAGAGUCAGGUUCGAAAGUCCACGAGUAUUGCUGCAGCAUGAAGUACGGCAGUGCUGUGAAUCCUGUGUUAGAUAUUAUGUGUCAUGGUCUCAGCAUCAAUUGGGUGCCCGUUUCGGAAGAGUUUCGAAUCCACGAGUAUGACGGAAGUGAACAAAUUGUUUUAAAAUCUACUGAUCAAUGGAUUAUUGCUUAAACCAUGCUCAUUUGAUUGUACAAGAUUAACGUUUGAAUAUAAAUAAUUCAGCAACGUCAUGUGUGCGUUGUAAAUUAGGUUGAUAAAUUUUGUAAUAACAAUUCUAAUUAUCCCCAUCGCCCAUGUCAAAUAACACCCAGCCCGUAGUGGCGUAAUAAAAAAAAAAUUAACAAAAAUUAAACACCAGUGAUGACAUCACUAAUAGCCAAGUGCAAUCGAACGUUUUCACGAUGAGUUUUCACGAUGAAAUACACUUAAAUGUGUUAAGUCUUCUUUAUCGAAAAUAGAUGGCGUAUGAUUAUUGUUUUUUUUAAUAGUUGUCUGCUAAUAGGUAUUUUAAUUUGAACUAAGCCUUAAUGAAAAUUGAAAAAAAAAAGAUUUUUUGUAGAUUUUUAAAAUCACAAAUGUAAUUUUUUUCAAACUUGUGUACGUCAUAUGCUUUUUAAUAACACAGCCACGUCUGAGCUUCAUUGCUGUCAUGCAUGUGGUUUUGUUUCAGCCAGCUCUGGUGAAAGUGAAUUUGGAGCUGCUGCAUGUAGUCUAUGGAGCAGGUGUCGUUCUGAAGUGUGCAAGCAUUACCUAAAGUGCAACAGCAAUUGAAGAAUUCUCGAAAUGGUCACAACUUCACCUCUGAUCUAGACUUGGUGGCAAUGGUAUGCAUCAGACUGCUAUGCACAGUCUACCGAUCUGGUGUGUCAUCCUGAAACUUAUAAGCCAGACCUGAAGGUGAAUUGCAAGAAGACUUCUUGAAAUGGUUUUUCAAUAACAGCCAGGUAAAAUCUCUUCUUCAUUGCUGUCUCUAACACAACACAGUAUGGUUUUUUGGUUUCGGCCAGCCGGUGCAAGACUGCAAGAUGUUGUCUAAUCAGGUUCUACUGUUGCAUGGAGUCUGUGAUGCCGCUGGUGAUCUGAAAAAUAUUGUUGCGCUUGUUUCUGAUAAGUGUGUUGUUUGAAGUAGUCUGUGAUGUAGACAAAUGCAUAUUAUCUUCUUUUCUGGGCUCCCUUCUGUUCUGUGAUCCCGUUUCCCUUUCUAUGACUAAUCGCUCCCCAGCAAAACUGAUCUGGCACUGCUCUCUUCUUCCUUGUCCAGGACAUCUCCCUGGGCACAGUCAAUCAAUGCAGUCUCCCCCUGUCUUGAUAGACUGAAUUUUGCAUGGAAAAUUCAACAUUGAUAAUAUUAAGUUAAAGGUAAAAUUGAUAUUUGUGAUAGGGGAUGAUAAACAUGUACAUAAUAGUAUAAACAAGAUUUAAACAGCUGCAUUUUCAUUAUGAAAUCUAUUUAUUACAAAAUUAUUCAUACAUUAUAUUUCCCAACUGAAUAAUUUGUUUCUUUUCUAAUGUUUUUUUUUGUUUUUUAAAUUGAUUUACAUAAUGUACUGUACCAACCAAUUAAAUUAAACAUAAGAAUCGUAAUUUUGUUGGAUGGCAGAGGGCCUGUUGCUUUCUC